UGUGGGCGGUUGAUUAAAUAAGAUGUGAAAUCCCCGGGCUUAACCUGGGAAUGGCAUCUUUAACUGGUCAGCUAGAGUCUGGUAGAGGGGGGUAGAAUUCCAUGUGUAGCGGUGAAAUGCGUAGAGAUGUGGAGGAAUACCGAUGGCGAAGGCGGCCCCCUGGAAUAAGACUGACGCUCAGAUGCGAAAGCGUGGGGAGCAAACAGGAUUAGAAAC
RNAcentral lists this ribosomal RNA (216 nucleotides) under Providencia heimbachae. RNAcentral describes it as "partial 16S ribosomal RNA". It matches the Rfam family "Bacterial small subunit ribosomal RNA", at positions 570 to 785 of the family's 1533-position model. The record is from RNAcentral. Lineage: Bacteria; Pseudomonadati; Pseudomonadota; Gammaproteobacteria; Enterobacterales; Morganellaceae.